UACAGAGGUCCCGAGCGUUGUUCGGAUUCAUUGGGCGUAAAGGGUGCGUAGGCGGCGGGGCAAGUCUGAUGUGAAAUCCCGGGGCUCAACCCCGGAACUGCAUUGGAUACUGCCUUGCUGGAGUACUGGAGAGGGAACUGGAUUUACGGUGUAGCAGUGAAAUGCGUAGAGAUCGUAAGGAAGGCCAGUGGCGAAGGCGAGUUCCUGGACAGUUACUGACGCUGAGGCACGAAGGCCAGGGGGAGCAAACGGG
RNAcentral lists this ribosomal RNA (253 nucleotides) under uncultured bacterium. Its description in RNAcentral is "partial 16S ribosomal RNA". It matches the Rfam family "Bacterial small subunit ribosomal RNA", at positions 524 to 776 of the family's 1533-position model. The record is from RNAcentral.